RNAcentral lists this ribosomal RNA (137 nucleotides) under uncultured eukaryote. RNAcentral's name for it is "partial 18S ribosomal RNA". It matches the Rfam family "Eukaryotic small subunit ribosomal RNA", at positions 1299 to 1458 of the family's 1831-position model. The record is from RNAcentral.
UGGUGGGGUGACUUGUCUGCUUAAUUGCGUUAACGAACGAGACCUUAACCUGCUAAAUAGCCCGCAUUGCUCCGGCAGUGCGCUGGCUUCUUAGAGGGACUUUCGGCUCAAGCCGAAGGAAGUUUGAGGCAAUAACA